CUUUUUCUACUGCUUUUUCUAUAGAGGCUGGAAUCAGGAAGCCUAGGUAGGGGGAGGGAUUAUAGAAAACAUGCGGAAAGUGGCUGCAAGAAUGAUACAGAAAUGAAAGAAAACAGGCAACAGCAUGUCCUCAAAAAAGAAGGCGAAGCAGUAUUGUGUGUUCAUAAAAGAUUUCAAGGAUGGAAGGCAGUAUUUCCUGACUGGAAUGGUAGGAAUCUGUGAGAGAGAACCAAAUCGUAAAGUGAAAGUUUCUGUUCUCGAUGAACAGAUGCAUUGCACGACUGUGAUUACCAACCUGAAGCUGCUGAGUAAAGAAGAAGCCGGGUUUUUACUCAGUCUUAAACUGCCGGACAGGAGUAGGUGGCUCUGUAAUGACGAGCUGCUGAAGUCUGUAUGCAGCCUGCAGAGGAACGACGUUGUUCAGUUAAGCACUAAUAAAGUCGGCAUUGUCAAGGACAUAUUGUCAUUGUCCUUGUAUUCUGAGCUAAAAAAAACACACAUUGUAGUAGAGCUGCUGGACGGGAUUGGAGGGAAAACUCAGACGGUGCACCCCAGUGAAAUUGUGUGCGUUUCUUCUUCUUCUUCUGCAACAGCCAGCCUACAUGCAGAAGAAAGAAAACUCAGCUCAGAAGAUGAAGAAGCACAGCAGAAACUGAAUGGCAGAAGUAACCUUGCCAGUCAGAGGUCUGGUUUAUCUUCUUCGGAAACGAAUGUUGCUGAUUACCCUGCAUGUAGUUCUUUGUCCAGUGCAGAACACCAUAAGGAUCCUUCCGAAGUACAACAUCCCAGUAACACAGCAAUGAACCUAAACAUUCCCGACCUAGAGAUUGGUUCCAUGGUUGAAGUUAAAGCCAAAAAUAAUGCCACAGUUUAUGGAGUGCUUCGGUGGAUCGGUAAACUUUCAGCUUAUGAGGAAGACUAUGCAGGUAUUGAGCUGGAUUACGAGAUGAAAGAAUGCACAGAUGGAACAUUCAAAGGUCAAAGGUUCUUUAGGUGUGCCAGUAACAGGGGUAUGUUUAUCAAGCUGGCUGAAUGCAAGCCUGAUGGGAGGUUCCUUUCAAGUUUACCACAGGAUGGCUUUAAAUCUUCUAGCUGCCCAAAGGGAACACCAGUGGAUGGGAAGCCUAUAGGAGAGAACACAACUACAUUCUUGCUCCGUACUUUAUCCUCAGGCAAAGUUGUCGAAGAUGAAGACCUCAUGGAAGAUGUUCCUCCAGUUACAGAGUCUGAGGCCCUGCUGAAGAUGGAAGGCCGAAUGAAGGGGAUCCAAGGACAUUACAACUCCUGCUACCUUGAUUCAGCACUCUUCAGUUUAUUUAGCUUUUCUCCAGUACUGGACAGCAUUCUACACUUACCUUUGAAACAAGAAGAAAAAGUGCAAGAAAUCUUGAGAAGAGAGAUUGUGAACCCUUUAAGGAAAACUGGAUUUGUCAGUGCUGAAAGUGUUAUGAAAUUAAGGAAAUCCCUGAGAUGUGAAAGUUUCACCUUUGAAGAAAAAGAUCCUGAAGAAUUUCUUACUCUACUCCUCCAUCAAGUCCUCGCAGUAGAUCCUUUAAUAAAGAUCAGGUCUUGCGAUAAAAUCCAAGAGUGCUACAGUUAUCAAAUUAUAAUGGAGCAGGACAAUGCACUGAAAGUACCCAGUGUACAGCAGCUGUUGGAGAGAUCCUUCCUGACUUGUAACCUGAAGUUUGAAGAGAUCCCAUCAUGCUUAAUUAUUCAAAUGCCAAGAUUUGGGAAAGCGUAUAAAAUGUUCCCUAAAAUUGUACCCUCCUUGGAACUUGAUGUUACAGACCUGCUCUAUAAUACCCCCAGGGAGUGCUUCAUUUGUGGUCGACUCGCUGAAGUUGAAUGUUAUCAGUGUGUCAUGGAUCCAUAUCUCAUGCCAGGAAAAAACAAGCAGUUUUGCUGUCUUUGUAAUAAACAGGUACAUAUCCAUAGGAAGAGGCAAGAUCAUGUGACACAGAAGCUUGACUUCCCUGUAGAUGUCUCUGCCACAGCUUUAUUUCCAAGAUACAAACUGGAGUUGUUUGCAGUGUUGUGCAUUCAGACCAGUCACUAUGUGUCAUUUGUGAAGUAUGGGCCUAGCAAAACGUCUUGGCUUUUCUUUGACAGCAUGGCUGACAGGCAAGGAGGUGUGAAAGGCAGAAACAUCCCUGAAAUUAAAGCUUGUCCACAAGUUGGAGAAUACCUCACUAUGUCUGAAGAGGAGUUGGCCAGCGUUGAUCUAAAGCAGAUGGAUGAGUUUGCAAAACGAUUUUUCUGUGAUAUGUAUAUGUGCAUGUACCAAUGCCCAGCUCUCUAUCUGUACAGAUAGCACUAAAUCUCCACUGAUACGCAUGUUUGGCAUGCAAAUUUGCACUGCAUCUGCUGUGAACUAAAACAUGAAGGACAACUGAUUUACAAGACUGAGAGUCCCCAGGGAAGGUGAUUUACUGAUGUUAUGAUGAUAAAAUACAGUCUGUUUACACAGGAUAAACUCAUAUUACCGUCUUACAUUACAAAGUAUCUGUACUUGUUUCCAGGCAUUCUCUACCACUCUGCAGUGUGAGAAGACAUCAGGGGUUGGGCAUAUACUGACUUUUGCUGCCAUUCUGAGGACGGAAGCUAAUUUGCUCAGACUGAUAACGUACAAAGCUGAAACAUAUUUAAUGUUUUACUGCUUACUGUCAAUGAUAUGUUUUGACAUUAACAUAUGAGCAGUUUCAUAGUUCUGUUUAACUUACGGUUUAUUCUGAAAUGUACCUUCUUGAUCCUCCACUUUAUACUACUGACAGGGUUGCAUUACUGUGCCAGUAAAGACAUAGAGGUUCAAUGUCAUCUGUUGUGGCUAAAAUGGUUCCACUUUACUAUCCCUCUUCUUAACAAAUAGAAAACAAAAUGCCAACACAAAUGAAUUUACUGUUUAAGUAGGGUGUGUGACACGGAGGCCAACAAGCAGCUAGGCUGCAAAGUGGAAUUUAUUUUGCCACCAGAACUGUGUGUGUUAAAAUUAUCAUCACCUAAUCAGUACAUAUUAGGACAUGUACUAGCACUUGCCUAUCUGUUCGAGAUCAUUUAGUAGGCUAUACUUUGCUUUCCCUACCAGGAACCGAUAGAGAGAAAGGGAUGGGGGAGUGCCAAGUGAAACAUCAGCUGUGGCUGAAUUUUUACUUGAGUCUGAAAUGGACAGUUAAUAAGGCAUAUAAAAUAAUGUGUAGGAGCAAAUUACAAUGAAAUAAAUAGAAUUUGUGCACUCAACAUAGGCAGAAAACUCUUCAGGAUAGAGGAGGAGUGAAUUUUAAGGAAAGGCAUGACUUGAGCAAUUUAUAAAAUGGAGUGAACAAUAAUUGUUACAAAAGAAAAUCUGUAUAAUGCAUGAAAAAAAAAGUUCACAAUUGUAUGUUUUCUGUUCUAUUAAAGUAUGUGUAUUCAUGUUAUUCAAAAUGUGCAAAUAUAACAAAGGUGUUUAAAAAUAUUGCAUCCUUUACCAAGUUUUGUGGCGGGAAUAGAAAAAGGUGAAUAUUUUAGAUGGUGGAUUAAUGUUCCAAACUGGAUCCUAGAAUGCAUAUUUAUUGUCUAAACCUAUAGAUGAUCCUCUUAAGCUACAGUAUUAAAAAAUAUACUGGCACAAGGAGCACGUCCCAGUCAAAAAUGCUAAACACUUACACCGUGUUUGCAUUUCAUGCUGUAAUAACUAUUGGCAAAACAGUCAGUGGUACUUAGCAGUAAUUUACUCACAUAUGUGAAUUUCCAGGUUAGUAUAAACUGCUGCCUGAAAUACAGAGGCAUGAGCAGCAAAGAACUGACAACUUUACAUUACAAGUCAUGACUUGGGGAAGGUUUAAUCCAUCCAUAUAUCCACAACCAUUUUUCCCAUUUCUGCACAGGGGGUUGGGGUGUCACUUCAGUACUGACAAUUAUCUAGAUCCAAGGUUUACACCGCCAGGUGGCUAGCCCUGCCACAGUAGUUCUUCCACAGCACUUCUGCACACACACUCACAUCUGUGGCCAAUUUAGUACUAAACAGUAUGACUACAAAUGCCAAUUUAGUGUUUUCAAUCCACCUACUGCGUGUCUUUGGAAUGUGGAAGGAAAGUGGAGCACCUGGGGGAAACUCACAAACACAGGGAGGACAUACAGACUCUGCACCGAUGGCACCCCAGUUGAAACUCGAACCGGGGAACCUCAUGAUUUGAAGCGGCAAUGCUAAUUUUUAGUAUUCUUUGAUAAGCUACAUUUUCAAUGUACCGGUUUAUGAAAAAUAAAGACUUAAGUGAAAUGCAUAUUACUACUUACAAACAUUUAUAACUUUGUUCUUGUGAAUCACUUUCUAAUACAGUCAAUGAGCACUCCACUGUUUUUUUUUCUAGGUGUUUUUUUCCCCUGUGCCUGUCAAUCAAGCAGCCUUUGAUGGGACAUAACUCACCAAUUCCCUAACAUGGGAAUUUCAUUCAAGGAUUGGGGUGAGAGCUGUCUGGAAUGGGACAUUUUCUGCUAGGCAUGAGGGUACUUUAUGCCCUUAGCAGAUCUUGGCAAUGAGAACAUUUAUAAUGGUUUAACCCUGCUCAUCAGCAGUAGGGUAUGUAAUAGCAGUCACUACGAAUGCCUAAUAUGCAUUUCCCAAGUAAAUGGAAACUUCUGUACACCUGUGUUGAAUGUUACCACCAGGCAGUGGCUUUGAGGCCCAAUGCCCACUCCAGGACCCUGCUUUUGCACUGCCACCCUUCCACAGAGUAACUGUGGGGCAGUGUGUAGCCAGCUCUGACCCACCUACAAUAGGAAUGGGUAUACCCAAUCUACAGCCACCUCUGUCCAUGUGCCCAAGCCACUAAUCUAACUUGUCUGCCCAGCCACAGUCGGAGCUUUACUCUCUACGUCACUGGAGCUGGCUCUCUGCACCUACUUCACUUACACUGUGACUGAUGAAAGCAGACAAGUGACUAACAAUGCUCCACAACUAAUGCAAAUCUGCAGUACCCAACUGCAAUAUGCAGUAAAAGUAGCAAAGUGUCACCAUUUAGUUGACAAGGCAGAAUUAUGGGGGAUCUUAACUGUUUAGGACCUUCCAUGGAACGACACUACUUUGCAUGUCUGUCUCUAACUUCUCAUGUUGCUUUGGUCUGUAUUUAUGUUCUCACAUCACCCUGAGUAUGUAAGAAGUUAAUGAAGUACUACCAUUAACAGUCGGCUAUCUGCUACAAGACACCACUGAAAAAAUUGGUAACACAGUUAAUGGGCCUUGUGCCUCUUAACACCAAGUUCAGUGGUAGUUACUUCUCAGAAACAUGAAAAAAAAAAAAAAAAAGAAAAGCAUUGAAUGUUUCAGUAAAGUUUAAGUCAAAAACUAGGAAAAUGAAACCGUGGAUUUCAUAUUCUAACUUUUCAACAUUUAACACUCUGAUUAUAACUUUGCAGUCCUGCCCCUGUAACAUACAAAUGUUCUUGAAAUAUCCCCUAAACCCACAAAACUGAUAUCUACACAACAUUUUAACAAUAUUAAACUGCAAGGGUGGCGAAAGUCCGGUAUAGCCUAACCAGAAAUCUGUACUAUAUAUAUUCUCCUUUUAAAGUACUUCAUAUAUCCUCCCACAUUCCCUUCCCCCUCUGCAAGAUCUGAAUCUUUAUAAAUUUCACAACAUCAUACACUUAAUUAUACUUUAUAUUUUGGGAUACUCUCUUAAAUAUGCCACCUUCUUAACAAGUUUACUUUUUUCUCGAUAUCUGGUGUUUUUUUCAUACCAAUUUAAUCUGCAGCUUUACUUGGAAACAGGUUCUGGUUCACAACACAGCUGCCAUCUAUACCAUGAAAUACAGCUCAUAAAAACAAUAAACAAUUCAGAUGUCUUCAUUUACAAAUGGAAAAAAAAAGGUUUCUUGGGUGGUAUUACACAGCCCAGAAUGAACAGUAAAAAAGAUAAUCUAGUCAGAGAAAACUUCAAGUAACAAUAUUCGGAUGAUUUUAGUUUUGAAUAGCUAAAAAAUGGCAAAUAUUCUGAAAUUUUUCUUCCUUGAAUAAAAAAGAUUCAUAUUUUAAAGAUGAAAGUGAACAUUUAAUGACUGUUCAUGGUAAAAAUGUACAAGUAUACCUCUGAUAACCUGUUUUGGCUUAAAUCUCCAAAACAUUCAAAAAUGCAAACAAUGUAUUUUAAAUGUGCCAGGAAUUGAUGCAGCUAACAGGCAUUCAAUUUUAUUGAUGCUACAGGCCUAAUUGUGAAGCAUUGCUGCAUUUCAG
This is an RNA transcript of Protopterus annectens (West African lungfish), 6211 nucleotides long. It is a transcript of the gene named ubiquitin carboxyl-terminal hydrolase CYLD-like, with no coding region annotated. Lineage: Eukaryota; Metazoa; Chordata; Ceratodontiformes; Protopteridae. The record is from RefSeq and is a predicted model, not a curated record. The transcript has 16 exons.